UUAGAGUUUGAUCAUGGCUCAGGAUGAACGCUGGCGGCGUGCUUAACACAUGCAAGUCGAACGAACCUUCGGGUCAGUGGCGGACGGGUGAGUAACGCGUGAGAAUCUGCCCUCAGGAGGGGGAUAACGGUUGGAAACGACCGCUAAUACCCCAUAUGCCUACUGGUGAAAUGAAUUUCGCCUGAGGAUGAGCUCGCGUCUGAUUAGCUAGUUGGUGAGGUAAUGGCUCACCAAGGCUUCGAUCAGUAGCUGGUCUGAGAGGAUGAUCAGCCACACUGGGACUGAGACACGGCCCAGACUCCUACGGGAGGCAGCAGUGGGGAAUUUUCCGCAAUGGGCGAAAGCCUGACGGAGCAACGCCGCGUGAGGGACGAAGGCCUCUGGGCUGUAAACCUCUUUUCUCAAGGAAGAAGAUAUGACGGUACUUGAGGAAUAAGCCACGGCUAAUUCCGUGCCAGCAGCCGCGGUAAUACGGGAGUGGCACGCGUUAUCCGGAAUUAUUGGGCGUAAAGCGUCCGCAGGCGGCUUUUCAAGUCUGCUGUUAAAGCGUGGAGCUUAACUCCAUCAUGGCAGUGGAAACUGAAAGGCUUGAGUAUGGUAGGGGCAGAGGGAAUUCCCGGUGUAGCGAUGAAAUGCGUAGAUAUCGGGAAGAACACCAGUGGCGAAGGCGCUCUGCUGGGCCAUUACUGACGCUCAUGGACGAAAGCCAGGGGAGCGAAAGGGAUUAGAUACCCCUGUAGUCCUGGCCGUAAACGAUGAACACUAGGUGUCGGGGGAAUCGACCCCUUCGGUGUCGUAGCUAACGCGUUAAGUGUUCCGCCUGGGGAGUGCGCACGCAAGUGUGAAACUCAAAGGAAUUGACGGGGGCCCGCACAAGCGGUGGAGUAUGUGGUUUAAUUCGAUGCAACGCGAAGAACCUUACCAGGGUUUGACAUCCUGCGAACCUCUUAGAAAUUUGAGGGUGCCUUCGGGAAUGCAGUGACAGGUGGUGCAUGGCUGUCGUCAGCUCGUGUCGUGAGAUGUUGGGUUAAGUCCCGCAACGAGCGCAACCCACGUUUUUAGUUGCCAGCAUUUAGUUGGGCACUCUAGAAAGACCGCCGG
RNAcentral lists this ribosomal RNA (1101 nucleotides) under unidentified marine bacterioplankton. Its description in RNAcentral is "bacterial SSU rRNA". It matches the Rfam family "Bacterial small subunit ribosomal RNA", at positions 1 to 1155 of the family's 1533-position model. The record is from RNAcentral.